This 101-nucleotide non-coding RNA is filed under the name Intestinibacter bartlettii. RNAcentral describes it as "Clostridium bartlettii ZTP sequence". It matches the Rfam family "ZMP/ZTP riboswitch aptamer (pfl RNA motif)". From Rfam's summary of the family: Previously known as pfl RNA. ZMP is also known as AICAR. RNAcentral also lists the same sequence under 1 other name. Lineage: Bacteria; Bacillati; Bacillota; Clostridia; Peptostreptococcales; Peptostreptococcaceae. The record is from RNAcentral.
AAAUGGUCAAGUGACUGGUGGAAACAUCGAAAGAUGCGUAGGAUAACCUACAGGGAGCUUGAUUAUAUAUUUAGAAAUUGCCGACCGCCUGGGCACGUAUG